Molecule: long non-coding RNA, 699 nt
Filed under: Volvox carteri
Lineage: Eukaryota; Viridiplantae; Chlorophyta; Chlorophyceae; Chlamydomonadales; Volvocaceae
Description: long non-coding RNA (VCAR_LNC001164)
Source: RNAcentral
AGGCAAAGCGUUGUCGUGGAUUGAAAUGAUCGAAUGUUAAUUCAUUUGUAUGUCAGGAUCAUGGCUGCACAAAGUGCAUUGUGCUCGGGUCGGCAGCAACACGUCCCGAACGGCAACUAACCAGUCGCAGCAACUGCAUCUCUAGCCAGCACAAUUGCGAUGCAAAUCAUACCUUCGGAUCAUCAUUCGUUUCUGUAUGUGACAUUUUAACUGUGGCCAUUACUUCGUCAACGCUGGAUUUGUCUUGGAACUCGUUCGCACCAGGCUUGACGCAAGAAUUCAUCUUUUGUAAGAAGCUUCUCAUGCUAACCUCAAAUUAUCCAUGUAAUAUGUUUCUAUUAUAUUAUCUACUACUCCGUGUUCACUUCGGUUCGCGGGUGCGCGACGCUUGCCCUGACCAACUGUCGUGUCACCGGGAGAAGGACGAGCUUAGCGACAAGCGCCUUUGUUUGUUCAUGAGUAUCUAUUAUGAGCAACGAAUACUAAAUUUUAAACACCUCGUAGGUACAUCAAGCCGUCAUGGCUGGUUCCAUGGGUCAGGGAGACCGGCAGGCACGCCGUACAACGGACUUACUCCACAUUUGAUAGCGCUACGGCUGCUGCAUUGCACGGACAAGACCGGAGCCGCCGGUGUACUGCCUCAGCGACUUCCAAUUUAAUAUUUCUGAUUUCGACUACCAAACGGAACGUGUAAGCGUU